AAUAGUGUGCUUGAUUAAAAAGGCCGCCUUGAUAGGGCGGACAAUGAGAAUUACCUCUCCUCUAUUA
RNAcentral lists this transfer RNA (67 nucleotides) under Typhlatya miravetensis. Its description in RNAcentral is "tRNA-Ile". The record is from RNAcentral. Lineage: Eukaryota; Metazoa; Arthropoda; Malacostraca; Decapoda; Atyidae.